GGAUCCAUCGGUAGCUUGCUACCGAUGGUGAGAGUGGCGCACGGGUGCGUAACGCGUGAGCAACCUGCCCAUAUCAGGGGGAUAGCCCGGAGAAAUCCGGAUUAACACCGCAUGCAACCGGAGGAUGGCAUCAUCUUCCGGUUAAAUAUUCAUAGGAUAUGGAUGGGCUCGCGUGACAUUAGCUAGUUGGUGGGGUAACGGCCCACCAAGGCGACGAUGUCUAGGGGCUCUGAGAGGAGAAUCCCCCACACUGGUACUGAGACACGGACCAGACUCCUACGGGAGGCAGCAGUAAGGAAUAUUGGUCAAUGGGGGCAACCCUGAACCAGCCAUGCCGCGUGCAGGACGACUGCCCUAUGGGUUGUAAACUGCUUUUGUUAGGGAAUAAACCCCACUACGUGUAGUGGGCUGAAUGUACCUAAAGAAUAAGGAUCGGCUAACUCCGUGCCAGCAGCCGCGGUAAUACGGAGGAUCCGAGCGUUAUCCGGAUUUAUUGGGUUUAAAGGGUGCGUAGGCGGCACUUUAAGUCAGGGGUGAAAGACGGCAGCUCAACUGUCGCAGUGCCCUUGAUACUGAAGUGCUUGAAUGCGGUUGAAGACGGCGGAAUGAGACAAGUAGCGGUGAAAUGCAUAGAUAUGUCUCAGAACACCGAUUGCGAAGGCAGCUGUCUAAGCCGUUAUUGACGCUGAUGCACGAAAGCGUGGGGAUCGAACAGGAUUAGAUACCCUGGUAGUCCACGCCCUAAACGAUGAUGACUCGAUGUUUGCGAUAUACCGUAAGCGUCCAAGCGAAAGCGUUAAGUCAUCCACCUGGGGAGUACGCCCGCAAGGGUGAAACUCAAAGGAAUUGACGGGGGCCCGCACAAGCGGAGGAGCAUGUGGUUUAAUUCGAUGAUACGCGAGGAACCUUACCC
RNAcentral lists this ribosomal RNA (913 nucleotides) under Sphingobacterium sp. H105. RNAcentral describes it as "bacterial SSU rRNA". It matches the Rfam family "Bacterial small subunit ribosomal RNA", at positions 64 to 976 of the family's 1533-position model. The record is from RNAcentral. Lineage: Bacteria; Pseudomonadati; Bacteroidota; Sphingobacteriia; Sphingobacteriales; Sphingobacteriaceae.